AGAGUUUGAUCCUGGCUCAGAGCGAACGCUGGCGGCAGGCUUAACACAUGCAAGUCGAGCGGGCGUAGCAAUACGUCAGCGGCAGACGGGUGAGUAACGCGUGGGAACGUGCCUUUUGGUUCGGAACAACACAGGGAAACUUGUGCUAAUACCGGAUAAGCCCUUACGGGGAAAGAUUUAUCGCCGAAAGAUCGGCCCGCGUCUGAUUAGCUAGUUGGUGAGGUAAUGGCUCACCAAGGCGACGAUCAGUAGCUGGUCUGAGAGGAUGAUCAGCCACAUUGGGACUGAGACACGGCCCAAACUCCUACGGGAGGCAGCAGUGGGGAAUAUUGGACAAUGGGCGCAAGCCUGAUCCAGCCAUGCCGCGUGAGUGAUGAAGGCCCUAGGGUUGUAAAGCUCUUUUGUGCGGGAAGAUAAUGACGGUACCGCAAGAAUAAGCCCCGGCUAACUUCGUGCCAGCAGCCGCGGUAAUACGAAGGGGGCUAGCGUUGCUCGGAAUCACUGGGCGUAAAGGGUGCGUAGGCGGGUCUUUAAGUCAGGGGUGAAAUCCUGGAGC
RNAcentral lists this ribosomal RNA (556 nucleotides) under uncultured bacterium. RNAcentral describes it as "bacterial SSU rRNA". It matches the Rfam family "Bacterial small subunit ribosomal RNA", at positions 8 to 608 of the family's 1533-position model. The record is from RNAcentral.